This 754-nucleotide ribosomal RNA is filed under the name Vreelandella hamiltonii. RNAcentral describes it as "bacterial SSU rRNA". It matches the Rfam family "Bacterial small subunit ribosomal RNA", at positions 52 to 803 of the family's 1533-position model. The record is from RNAcentral. Lineage: Bacteria; Pseudomonadati; Pseudomonadota; Gammaproteobacteria; Oceanospirillales; Halomonadaceae.
UACCAUGCAGUCGAGCGGUAACAGGGGGUGCUUGCAACCCGCUGACGAGCGGCGGACGGGUGAGUAAUGCAUAGGAAUCUGCCCGAUAGUGGGGGAUAACCUGGGGAAACCCAGGCUAAUACCGCAUACGUCCUACGGGAGAAAGGGGGCUUCGGCUCCCGCUAUCGGAUGAGCCUAUGUCGGAUUAGCUAGUUGGUGAGGUAAAGGCUCACCAAGGCGACGAUCCGUAGCUGGUCUGAGAGGAUGAUCAGCCACAUCGGGACUGAGACACGGCCCGAACUCCUACGGGAGGCAGCAGUGGGGAAUAUUGGACAAUGGGGGGAACCCUGAUCCAGCCAUGCCGCGUGUGUGAAGAAGGCCCUCGGGUUGUAAAGCACUUUCAGUGAGGAAGAACGCCUGGUGGUUAAUACCCAUCAGGAAAGACAUCACUCACAGAAGAAGCACCGGCUAACUCCGUGCCAGCAGCCGCGGUAAUACGGAGGGUGCGAGCGUUAAUCGGAAUUACUGGGCGUAAAGCGCGCGUAGGUGGCUUGAUAAGCCGGUUGUGAAAGCCCCGGGCUCAACCUGGGAACGGCAUCCGGAACUGUCAAGCUAGAGUGCAGGAGAGGAAGGUAGAAUUCCCGGUGUAGCGGUGAAAUGCGUAGAGAUCGGGAGGAAUACCAGUGGCGAAGGCGGCCUUCUGGACUGACACUGACACUGAGGUGCGAAAGCGUGGGUAGCAAACAGGAUUAGAUACCCUGGUAGUCCACGCCGU